GGGGCAUGCGCCAGGCCACCGAGGGUGCUGGCCACAGAUCUUGUCUGGAAAAUAAAGGAACAGUCAGAUUGCUUUUGGGAGGCAUCUUCUUCCUUUCACAUCUCUGAGAGCGUCUAUUUUGCCUGCGACGGAAAGUCAAGCCUCAGCUGAGAGAACCUUCUGUGUGGCACUCUGAUUUCUUUGCUAAGUAGUCUGAUUUCCCCCUCAGUAAUUUCUAUUUUUAUGCACAGUGACUCUCAAUUGGUGAGAAAAUGAUGAUCACAUAAUCUCUCUUCCUCGAAGCUGCCGAGUGAUUAGCCUCAUUUGCUGCGCGUUCCACUCCACGGCCCGGAAAUGACGCCCCUCUCCAACUCCCGCUAAGCAUGUCAGCUAGAUGGGUUUGACCUUUUCCUGGAAAACAAGGGAGAUGAGAACACGUGACGUGUGUGCAAACUGAUGCUCAAAUGGGCUAUUUUAGCCAACACUUCAAGAUACAUGCUUCGCUAAACUGGCUGAGGACACACCGGAGCGUUUCCAGUGAGGGCUUUUUAAGGCAUUUAAGAGUCUUGCUAUCUUCAAAAAUAAAGGUAUGACAGAAGAUGGCCUGCAGGAGCCGGUUCUCUCCAUCCACCAUGUGGUUACUGGGGGAUCAAAUUCAGAUUGGCAGGCUUGGUGGUACCCUUGACUUGUUUACACCCUGGGUGAUAAGAAUAAGAAGCUCCGGAUGUAGUGUCAAGAACUUCAGUGCCGCCUCUGUCGUCUGGAUCCCCGGUGAUUGAGAGACUGCAGGAAUUUUUAGAGAUAUGGACCUUAUGAUCCCUUGAGCUACUUUAUAAUCUAGCUUAUAACCUGCUUGAGUUCCUGUCCUGACUUCCUUCAAUGAUGAGUAAGGCCAUGAAAGUGUAAACCCAACAAACCCUCUCUUCUGUAAGUUGCUUUUGGUCAUGGCGUCUCAUCUCAUCAACAGCAACCCUAACUAAGACGUGUGUCGUGUGAGAAAAUGAAUAUUUUCACAGGGACUCUGAGGAAUGUUCCCAUGAACCCUGUCUACCCAGAUUGCAACUUGAAUACCGGAACACAUUGUUUGAAUACAUAAUUCAAGGUCAACGAGAAGGUGUUCCAUUGUAUGAUUUAGUCAUGAGCCACCGCUUGGAGCAUCAUCUUUCUGCCAUUAAUGAAUCGCCUUCUACAGCAGCAGGAUUAGGAAACCUUUGAACUGUUUAGAGGAGAGCCUUUGGACUGCAUCCGCCAAGCAAGAAUCAAGAAGCUCCUUCAUCGUAAGGCUGAAUCUGAUGCAGUUUUCCUGAACUUCUUUUUUCUGCCUUUGAGAGCAAUUAGCAGUGGGUUAGUCUUCAGUAACUAUAGCUCACAGAGGGGCCAAAGGGUCUCACAAUGGAUCUGGGGCUAGGCUGGCUGCCAGAAAACCCCGGGAAUCCUCCAGCAUUCACCUGCUCUCGGCAUUGGGGUUAUAGGUACACAUGGCCACACGGAGCUUUUUCUCUCAAAGAUCAGUGAGAUAAUUUGCAAGCAAAAUCUCAGCGCUGGGAGACAGGUUAGAGAAGGAUGUAGAACCCCCACAGGCUGGGCACUGAGUUGGUGAUUGAAUGGAAAAGGGAUAAACUCCCAGGGGACUUAGACCCAGGCCCAGAUGUAGGGAGUUACUGGGUAAAGCUAAGCAAAAGCAAUCAGUUUGUGUGUGUGUGUGUGUGUGUGUGUGUGUGUGUAAGCACAAAGAAUAUGUUUUCUUUUAUGUAAAUUGGUGUGUGUUUGUGUGUUUAUGUGUAAGCACACACAUAUGAACUGGUGCAUUUUGGGUUCAUCUAGAUGAUCUUAAGAAUAUAUUUUCUUUGAUGUAAAUUGGUAUCUAGCAGCCAGUGAUGGGAAAACGUCUCCUCCAUACUCAGCUUUGUCACCCAACCUCUUGUGAAGACAGGAUGGAGCCCAGAUAGAGGCCUCGUGCUGACUCCUUGUGCAAAGAGAGGAAACAAGGGUCAAUGCUAAAAAGUGAAACACUGGAUUAAAAUAUGAAUCUGCUCUCUAUCAAAUGCUCGUGCAGUCUUUAAAAGAGAGGAGACAGAGGAGACAUCAAAGAGGAGAGGAUCUGGAAAGGAGAGGAUCUGGGAGGAUCGAGUCUAGAUCACAAGGGAACAUACAGCCAGAAGCCAGAGAGCUUUGAAUCUUUGAAGGACGGAAACCCCCUUUGCUGUUGGAAGAUGGAGAAGGUGACAAGAAGCACAGGCAGCCAGAAUAUGUCACGGCUCUUAAAAAUAUUUAUUUAUAGGAAAGCUAUAAACCCAUGUUUAAAUAAACUCUGUUCUUGGUCAGCUUUUC
RNAcentral lists this long non-coding RNA (2310 nucleotides) under Mus caroli (Ryukyu mouse). RNAcentral describes it as "lncRNA (MGP_CAROLIEiJ_G0006104.1)". The record is from RNAcentral. Lineage: Eukaryota; Metazoa; Chordata; Mammalia; Rodentia; Muridae.